This is a long non-coding RNA of Oreochromis niloticus (Nile tilapia), 464 nucleotides long. RefSeq lists it as uncharacterized. NCBI's taxonomy places the organism in Eukaryota, Metazoa, Chordata, Actinopteri, Cichliformes, Cichlidae. The transcript is spliced from 2 exons. The record is from RefSeq and is a predicted model, not a curated record.
CUCUUCCAUCUCCAAUAUCUGUUGGUGCUCCAGACAUUUUCAUUCCGGCAAACCAGCCUAUGAAAUGGAUGAAACACAUCGUGACUGGGUUCCAGCGCUACACAAGGGGCACUCCGAAAUCCCUGCUUCAAACAUACCGCCAUGCCAAUCAGAUUACUUCUUCCAUGUGAGGGUGAAGAUGUGACCCUUCUGGAUAAGAUGGUGAAGGUUUGCUGCGUUUUGGUGAACAGUGUGGUAGUAAAACCAGGGAAAAAUGAAACUUGUGCCUGUUAAAUAUUCUUAAGUCUUGCGCUGUAUAAAUAGCGGUAAUUUUUCAAAGAUACAGUAAAUUAAGUAGUGUUAGUAGUUGGUAAUAUCAUGUAAACGCUGUCAUGAUUUUGUGUAAACAUUUUGUCAUUUGUAAACUAUAAAUGACAUUGAUUCUACAUUGUAACUGAUGUGAUGUUCUAUAAAGUGGUUUUAAU